GUCAACGAUUCCCCGGUCGCCGCCGACCCA
This 30-nucleotide small RNA is filed under the name Bombyx mori (domestic silkworm). RNAcentral describes it as "ovarian small RNA-17691". The record is from RNAcentral. Lineage: Eukaryota; Metazoa; Arthropoda; Insecta; Lepidoptera; Bombycidae.